CUCGACUGCAUAAUUUGUGGUAGUGGGGG
Molecule: non-coding RNA, 29 nt
Filed under: Gallus gallus (chicken)
Lineage: Eukaryota; Metazoa; Chordata; Aves; Galliformes; Phasianidae
Also listed under: 4 other names
Source: RNAcentral